CAUAUCACGUUGAAACACGGGUUCCCGUACGAUCUCCAAAGUUAAGCACCGUCGACCCUGAUAAGUACUUAGACGGGUGACCGUUUGGGAAUACUGG
RNAcentral lists this ribosomal RNA (97 nucleotides) under Acanthosepion pharaonis. Lineage: Eukaryota; Metazoa; Mollusca; Cephalopoda; Sepiida; Sepiidae. The record is from RNAcentral.